CAGUGAAUAGUUUAAUAAAAUAUUAAUUUUGGAGAUUAAUGAUAAAGUGUAUACUUUUUCUCUGA
This 65-nucleotide transfer RNA is filed under the name Rhyparobia grandis. RNAcentral's name for it is "tRNA-Pro". Lineage: Eukaryota; Metazoa; Arthropoda; Insecta; Blattodea; Blaberidae. The record is from RNAcentral.